Molecule: RNA transcript, 3531 nt
Organism: Cebus imitator (Panamanian white-faced capuchin)
Lineage: Eukaryota; Metazoa; Chordata; Mammalia; Primates; Cebidae
Gene: NKAIN2
Gene name: sodium/potassium transporting ATPase interacting 2
Exons: 10
Source: RefSeq, a predicted model, not a curated record
CGCUGCUGCCCCUGCGGGCCCCGGACGCGUCUCCGCAGGCGGCGCUGCCCGCGGCGCGGCGUGUGCACCGAGCGAGUGAAGGUAUGUGGGGCGGGCGCGGCUGGAGCUGCCGCCGCCGCCGCCGCGCCAGCAGGUCCUAAUGCCUGUCACUUCCCAGGACGCUGGCAGCAGCAGCCCGGAGCCCCCGAGCCCUCGGCAGGUUUGCCUGUCCUUCCCCGCGAUCUGAUUGGAUAAAGUGGGGGCUCGACGGUGGCCGACGUGGGACAGUCUGUCUGUGGCAGGGGUCUCGGAAACCAUGGGUUAUUGCAGUGGCAGGUGCACGCUUAUCUUUAUCUGUGGCAUGCAACUGGUACUGAAGAUGGAUGGGGAUCAUUAGGUAUCUCUUAUUAUAUUGUCCCACAAAUAUCUUAACCGUUUGUGUGCUGGAGAGGCAAAUAUUUGACUUCCUUGGAUAUCAGUGGGCACCCAUCCUGGCAAAUUUUGUACAUAUUAUUAUCGUCAUUCUUGGUUUGUUUGGAACUAUUCAAUAUAGACCUCGUUACAUAACAGGAAUCCUCUCUUUCCCAAAGCACCAGGAGGCCCUUUCUCUGAAGUUCACUUAUUUUACUGAGUAUGCUGUCUGGCUAGUCCUCUGGGUUACGUGGAAUGUGUUUGUUAUCUGCUUCUAUUUGGAGGCUGGGGACCUCUCAAAGGAAACAGACCUUAUCCUGACUUUUAAUAUUUCAAUGCACCGAUCUUGGUGGAUGGAGAAUGGACCAGGAUGUACGGUGACGUCAGUGACACCCGCCCCAGACUGGGCUCCAGAAGACCAUCGCUACAUCACGGUCUCAGGGUGUUUGCUGGAGUACCAGUACAUAGAAGUGGCUCAUAGUUCCCUGCAGAUUGUCCUCGCACUGGCAGGUUUCAUCUACGCCUGUUAUGUUGUGAAAUGUAUAACUGAAGAAGAGGACAGCUUUGAUUUCAUAGGUGGCUUUGACUCUUAUGGCUAUCAAGGGCCUCAAAAGACAUCUCAUUUACAACUACAGCCUAUGUACAUGCAAAUUCCCUUGGAUAACAACUGAUAACAAAUUCUAUAUAUCAGCAUCAAGUGAUAUGCUGAAUUGCAAGCGAAGAUCAAAUAGAAAGUCAAAAUAAUACAGAUGACUUCAGUAUGUCAGCCCAUGGACUUUUCAAAGAUCUUUUUUCGCAGUGGCCUCCUGUAUUUUAUGAAGAGCAAGAAGCAACUGAGUUUAAAUACAUAUACAUAUUAACAAAAGAAAUACAAGCCUCUACAUACACUCACACACACACACACGAGCACACACACACCAAUUCCACUUGACCUCCUCUUUCUAACUGAAACAGACAAAUAUGCAGGACAUGCCCAUCUUGGAUUUCCUGAAAGCAGGCUCCUUUCUCCCAGGCCUUUGGAAAGUUCAAAAGGAGAUGUGUUGGUGCCCAAUGGUUGCUGGACGUUGCUAACUCCUCUGCAGCCCAGCUGGUCGGCCUCUGUGAGCUGGGAAGUCAUCCAGGGCACAUUAGUUUGAGAGCUCUGUCUUCUGCACUCCAUACAUUUUGACAGCACCACGGCUAUUUAGGCAAUGUAAUUGCAAAAACAAACAAAACAUGCCAUGAUGACCUUGUACCCGAAAUCCGAAAUGACAGAUUGUUUGCCCUAAAGGCUGUACCGUACAUACUUGCCUUAACCCACCUACGUUGUGUGCCCAAGAAUCUCAGUGCAGACAGCUCCAAGUCACUUCCUUUAGGCUAACACACUGCUAUUAAUUGUGAAUGAGUUCAAGUCUGUGUGUUUCAUGUCAAGGAACAAGACUGACUAGCUCAGCAGCUCCAGUGUGUCUGUAUAAGAAAAGUACCAGCUGUCAGCAAAGUGCUUUACCAUAGAGCCUCCGUGGUGGCCCAAAAAAGACAAGUAACAAUAACAAUGUUUGUCACCUUUAUAAUUCUAAAAUAUGGUCUUCUGAUGGGGUUGGGGUGGGACAGAGGAAAACAUUAAUCUACUAAGCUUACUAGUCUAUUGGAAGCAGAAAGCAGAAAUGGCUUAACUCGCUGAUUUUAUUUAUUGCACUCUAGGUGCUUUUAUAAGUAUCUACAAUUGUCUUUUACUAACACAGAAACAGCUGUGGAUUUCUAUCAACAGAGGCCAACUGAAUAUGUAUUAGCUAUGUUUACUCUUUUAUAUCUAAUUCAAAUUGAAGACUCUAUGUAGGUGAACUUUUUUUUCUAACUUCAGCAUACAAGAUUAUUUUUGGGUGGGUGGGGGGAGCAAUAGUUACCUUGGUGAAAUAUUUCAGAUCUUUUUGUGGUAUUUGGGGGAUCUGUUGUGUGUUAGAGUGUAUUUCAAUCCUCCUGUAUUAUUGUGGCAGAAAAACUGUGCUGUUAACGUAGUUGGCAACAAGAUGCCUUUGGAAACUUAAUAGUAGGUCAAUGUGUUUAUGGAAUAUUUUGAACUCCUAGGAAAUUUUGUUCUAUAUUUUAAAGCAUUAUUUGGUUUUCAUUAGUGGAAAAUAUAAUUAGCUCAGGCUUAUCAGGAACUCAGAUGAGUCAUAUUUUUUCUUGGAUACACCUGAGACAUUAAACUCAAUUUUUUAAAACUAGCGCACCAUCCUUCGUACAGUGAAAUCCAGAAGCUACAAAUUGGCAUGGAGCAAGUAUUUUUUCUUUGAUUUCUAUGAAGUUUCAGUUAUUGGAUUAAACUUCUUUGGACCUUAGCCUAUUCAGAUUUACAUACACCAGUUCCAUUACUGUGUUUGCAUGGAUGUCUGUAAUAUACACACACAUCUACAUUUGAAAAUGAUACAGGAACAAAAAGUUACCAUUGGAACAUAAGCUACAAAAAAAAAUUCCAGCACUCAUGGUUGAAUUUUGUCAGUGGCUUGUAUGUUUGUCCAUACAUACAUGUAUAAAAUAAACAAUCGCAGCCAUGUCAGUGAAACCUCAUAUGAUGCUUUUAUAGUGACAUGCAUGUUUAAUGUAUGAGAAAAAUAUUUACCAAUGUACUGUCCUUUGAUUCCUAAAGUAUAAAUACUAUACAUGCCAGAAACUAUUCUAAUGUGACUUUUAAUGUGACUAUUAAAAUGAGGUUUCACUAUACAUUCAUGCUGUGAUGAGAUUUCACCUUAUAGUACAUGUAUAUGGGUACAGAAAAUAAACCCUCAUAUUCCUGCUUUAAGUUAUAGCCAAGUUUUCACCAAAUCACAACUAACAUCACCACCAAAAUUUUAAAAAACAGUUGUUGACUACUAAAAAGUAAUCAGUGGACAGGUCUUUUAAGGGAGCAGUAAGCACAGUAGUGUGAUUAUAUCUGGGAAAACAUCUAAAGUUGUACAGCUGUAUCCUCCUCAAAAUCCGGUGAAGAAUGCUAUUUUUCUAGGCUGAGCUUUUGUUAUAAACCUAAUAUUCAGAAAGCAAGAGUUAUGAUCCUGAUGUGUCCUUUUUUUUGCAUUUGUUAAUUCUGAAUGUAUUUUUAACAGAGUGAUUUUUUUGACUUACUAGUGUAAUUUGCAUUUUAAAAAUAAAUGGAAAAAUACUUAA